CUUACACCAAACCUUUUCAAGAGAAAAAAUAGAUUUUUUAAGUCGCGGGAUGAAUAUUGUGUUAUAGAAUCGUAUGAUGUGUCCCCGCUGGCCAUCUUGUAAAGGAACGCGCUUAACAAUGUCUUACUGCAUUCCUGUCUCUAUAUAAACUGCGGUAACGCUCUAUAAUAACUCGAAAAGGAACAACGCUCGGAGCUAAGCGCAUCGCGCCAUAAAUGCAACAGAUGAUGAUCUCAAUUUCACCUGAUCCACGUGCCUGUCAAAAAAAAGAUCGGGAUGGAAAACAAGACUCGACUCUAUAAGAAAUCUGAUCUUUUCUUUAUAACUCUAAAAAAAGGGAAAAAUGACGAUCAGCCCAAGCAUCUAUAACGGUUGAAUUAGCAAAAAACCGGCGGGAUCUCCAAAGCGCCCGCCAAGCUGCCCAGUCGGCUUAAAAAAAGGCGAUAUAUUUUCCGAUAGAAAAAAAAAAGUUCUUUGCCUCGCGGGGGAGUUUUUUGAAGAUCCCGCGGAGGCGUCUUCGGCAGUUCUACUUCGCCUCUUUAAAAAAUUUGAUCUUGAUUAAUUACUUUGUAUACAUAAAAAGCCAGAAUAUGAUUAUUACGAGUGUAACUUUUUAUAAUAAUCUUUGUAAAAAGAAUGAUCUUUCUGAAGUGAAAGUAAUUCCAAUAAGGAGGCAGAGCGCCAAAUUAAUU
Zophobas morio is the source of this 692-nucleotide long non-coding RNA. RefSeq lists it as uncharacterized. The record is from RefSeq and is a predicted model, not a curated record. The transcript has 3 exons. NCBI's taxonomy places the organism in Eukaryota, Metazoa, Arthropoda, Insecta, Coleoptera, Tenebrionidae.